Molecule: long non-coding RNA, 348 nt
Filed under: Gallus gallus (chicken)
Lineage: Eukaryota; Metazoa; Chordata; Aves; Galliformes; Phasianidae
Source: RNAcentral
CAGGGUGCUGUGGCCCUCCCCAGGGAGGAUGCUCGCUGAUCCCAGGAUGAGGCAAUCUGUGCCCAGGGUGAUGAUGAGGAGGUCCAAUUUCUUGAGGAAAAUCCCCCUGGGGGUAAUCAAAACGAUGAGGAUAAGGAGGCCUUUCAAAGGGAUGGCGAGGUGGAAAAUCAUCCUGCAUGAAGCGAGGUGGAAAGCGGUUGAAAUUAUGCGGAUGCGGGGGCUGGUUGAAUUGGGGAUGUUGCUGAUGUGGAGGAAAUGGGCCUCUGAAGUGAGGUGGCCGCUGCAUUCGAAAUGGAGGUUCCCUUUGACCCCCACCCCAUGGAGGUUGUUCAUGCUGGUUGUUCCACG